GACGAACGCUGGCGGCGUGCUUAACACAUGCAAGUCGAACGGAAAGGCCCUGCUUGCAGGGUACUCGAGUGGCGAACGGGUGAGUAACACGUGGGUGAUCUGCCCUGCACUUCGGGAUAAGCUUGGGAAACUGGGUCUAAUACCGGAUAGGAGCCAUCUUUAGUGUGGUGGUUGGAAAGUUUUUUCGGUGUAGGAUGAGCUCGCGGCCUAUCAGCUUGUUGGUGGGGUAAUGGCCUACCAAGGCGGCGACGGGUAGCCGGCCUGAGAGGGUGUACGGCCACAUUGGGACUGAGAUACGGCCCAGACUCCUACGGGAGGCAGCAGUGGGGAAUAUCGCACAAUGGGCGCAAGCCUGAUGCAGCGACGCCGCGUGGGGGAUGAAGGCCUUCGGGUUGUAAACUCCUUUCGCUAGGGACGAAGCUUUUUUGUGACGGUACCUAGAUAAGAAGCACCGGCUAACUACGUG
Molecule: ribosomal RNA, 466 nt
Filed under: uncultured bacterium
Lineage: Bacteria
Description: partial 16S ribosomal RNA
Rfam family: Bacterial small subunit ribosomal RNA
Source: RNAcentral